AGAGUUUGAUCCUGGGCUCAGGGGAUGAACNNGCUAGCUACAGGGCUUAACACAUGCAAGUCGAACGGAGUAGCAAUACUCAGUGGCAAACGGGUGAGUAACACGUAUCCAACCUAACCUCUACUCGGGUAUAGCCUUUCGAAAGGAAGAGUAAUCCCUGAUGUUAUAUGUGAUUCACAUGCAUUGCAUAUCAAAGAUUUAUCGGUAGAGGGUGGGGAUGCGUUCCAUUAGAUAGUCGGCGGGGUAACGGCCCACCGAGUCGAUGAUGGAUAGGGGUUCUGAGAGGAAGGUCCCCCACAUUGGAACUGCGACACGGUCCAAACUCCUACGGGAGGCAGCAGUGAGGAAUAUUGGUCAAUGGCCGGAAGGCUGAACCAGCCAAGUAGCGUGAAGGAUGACGGCCCUAUGGGUUGUAAACUUCUUUUUUAUGGGAAUAACGAUAGUCACGUGUGACUAUGUGCAUGUACCAUACGAAUAAGGAUCGGCUAACUCCGUGCCAGCAGCCGCGGUAAUACGGAGGAUCCGAGCGUUAUCCGGAUUUAUUGGGUUUAAAGGGAGCGUAGGCGGGAUAUCAAGUCAGCUGUGAAAUGUAGAUGCUCAACAUCUGCACUGCAGUUGAAACUGGUGUUCUUGAGUGCGUAAGAGGUAGGCGGAAUUCGUCGUGUAGCGGUGAAAUGCAUAGAUAUGACGAAGAACUCCGAUUGCGAAGGCAGCUUACUGGGCCGCAACUGACGCUGAAGCUCGAAGGUGCGGGUAUCANACAGGAUUAGAUACCCUGGUAGUCCGCACAGUAAACGAUGGAUACUCGCUGUCGGCGAUAUACAGUCGGUAGCCAAGCGAAAGCAUUAAGUAUCCCACCUGGGGAGUACGCCGGCAACGGUGAAACUCAAAGGAAU
Molecule: ribosomal RNA, 896 nt
Filed under: uncultured bacterium
Lineage: Bacteria
Description: bacterial SSU rRNA
Rfam family: Bacterial small subunit ribosomal RNA
Source: RNAcentral